Molecule: ribosomal RNA, 530 nt
Filed under: uncultured Nitrososphaerota archaeon
Lineage: Archaea; Thermoproteati; Nitrososphaerota
Description: bacterial SSU rRNA
Rfam family: Archaeal small subunit ribosomal RNA
Source: RNAcentral
UCUGGUGUCAGCCGCCGCGGUAAAACCAGCACCUCGAGUGGUCAGGAGGUUUAUUGGGCCUAAAGCAUCCGUAGCCGGUUGUUUAAGUUUUCGGUUAAAUCUAUGCGCUUAACGUAUAGGCUGCCGAAAAUACUGGACAGCUAGGGAGUGGGAGAGGUACACGGUACUCAAUAGGAAGGGGUAAAAUCCUUUGAUCUGUUGAUGACCACCUGUGGCGAAGGCGGUGUACCAGAACACGUUCGACGGUGAGGGAUGAAAGCUGGGGGAGCAAACCGGAUUAGAUACCCGGGUAGUCCCAGCUGUAAACGAUGCAAACUCGGUGCUGCAUUGGCUUGUGGCCAAUGCAGUGCCGCAGGGAAGCCGUUAAGUUUGCCGCCUGGGAAGUACGUACGCAAGUAUGAAACUUAAAGGAAUUGGCGGGGGAACACCACAAGGGGUGAAGCCUGCGGUUCAAUUGGAGUCAACGCCAGAAAUCUUACCCGGAGCGACAGCAGAAUGAAGGUCAAGCUGAAGACUUUACCAGACAAGCU